Molecule: ribosomal RNA, 675 nt
Filed under: bacterium IMCC8623
Lineage: Bacteria
Description: bacterial SSU rRNA
Rfam family: Bacterial small subunit ribosomal RNA
Source: RNAcentral
AACGAACGCUGGCGGCAGGCCUAACACAUGCAAGUCGAGCGCACCUUCGGGUGAGCGGCGGACGGGUUAGUAACGCGUGGGAACGUACCCUUUUCUACGGAAUAGCCUUUGGAAACGAAGAGUAAUACCGUAUACGCCCUUUGGGGGAAAGAUUUAUCGGAGAAGGAUCGGCCCGCGUUAGAUUAGAUAGUUGGUGGGGUAACGGCCUACCAAGUCUACGAUCUAUAGCUGGUUUUAGAGGAUGAUCAGCAACACUGGGACUGAGACACGGCCCAGACUCUUACGGGAGGCAGCAGUGGGGAAUCUUAGACAAUGGGCGCAAGCCUGAUCUAGCCAUGCCGCGUGAGUGAUGAAGGCCUUAGGGUCGUAAAGCUCUUUCGCCUGUGAUGAUAAUGACAGUAGCAGGUAAAGAAACCCCGGCUAACUCCGUGCCAGCAGCCGCGGUAAUACGGAGGGGGUUAGCGUUGUUCGGAAUUACUGGGCGUAAAGCGCACGUAGGCGGAUUGGAAAGUUGGGGGUGAAAUCCCGGGGCUCAACCCCGGAACUGCCUCCAAAACUAUCAGUCUAGAGUUCGAGAGAGGUGAGUGGAAUUCCAAGUGUAGAGGUGAAAUUCGUAGAUAUUUGGAGGAACACCAGUGGCGAAGGCGGCUCACUGGCUCGUAUACUGACGCUGAG